GGCGUGCCUAAUACAUGCAAGUCGAACGCACUCUCGUUUAGAUUGAAGGAGUUUGCUCCUGAUUGAUAAACAUUUGAGUGAGUGGCGGACGGGUGAGUAACACGUGGGUAACCUGCCCUAAAGUGGGGGAUAACAUUUGGAAACAGAUGCUAAUACCGCAUAAAACCUAACACCGCAUGGUGUAGGGUUGAAAGAUGGUUUCGGCUAUCACUUUAGGAUGGACCCGCGGUGCAUUAGUUAGUUGGUGAGGUAAAGGCUCACCAAGACCGUGAUGCAUAGCCGACCUGAGAGGGUAAUCGGCCACACUGGGACUGAGACACGGUCCAGACUCCUACGGGAGGCAGCAGUAGGGAAUCUUCCACAAUGGACGAAAGUCUGAUGGAGCAACGCCGCGUGAGUGAAGAAGGUUUUCGGAUCGUAAAACUCUGUUGUUGGAGAAGAAUGUAUCUGAUAGUAACUGAUCAGGUAGUGACGGUAUCCAACCAGAAAGCCACGGCUAACUACGUGCCAGCAGCCGCGGUAAUACGUAGGUGGCAAGCGUUGUCCGGAUUUAUUGGGCGUAAAGCGAGCGCAGGCGGUUUCUUAAGUCUGAUGUGAAAGCCUUCGGCUCAACCGAAGAAGUGCAUCGGAAACUGGGAAACUUGAGUGCAGAAGAGGACAGUGGAACUCCAUGUGUAGCGGUGAAAUGCGUAGAUAUAUGGAAGAACACCAGUGGCGAAGGCGGCUGUCUGGUCUGUAACUGACGCUGAGGCUCGAAAGCAUGGGUAGCAAACAGGAUUAGAUACCCUGGUAGUCCAUGCCGUAAACGAUGAGUGCUAGGUGUUGGAGGGUUUCCGCCCUUCAGUGCCGCAGCUAACGCAUUAAGCACUCCGCCUGGGGAGUACGACCGCAAGGUUGAAACUCAAAGGAAUUGACGGGGGCCCGCACAAGCGGUGGAGCAUGUGGUUUAAUUCGAAGCAACGCGAAGAACCUUACCAGGUCUUGACAUCCUUUGACCACUCUAGAGAUAGAGCUUUCCCUUCGGGGACAAAGUGACAGGUGGUGCAUGGUUGUCGUCAGCUCGUGUCGUGAGAUGUUGGGUUAAGUCCCGCAACGAGCGCAACCCUUAUUACUAGUUGCCAGCAUUAAGUUGGGCACUCUAGUGAGACUGCCGGUGACAAACCGGAGGAAGGUGGGGACGACGUCAAAUCAUCAUGCCCCUUAUGACCUGGGCUACACACGUGCUACAAUGGAUGGUACAACGAGUUGCGAGACCGCGAGGUUUAGCUAAUCUCUUAAAACCAUUCUCAGUUCGGAUUGUAGGCUGCAACUCGCCUACAUGAAGCCGGAAUCGCUAGUAAUCGCGGAUCAGCAUGCCGCGGUGAAUACGUU
RNAcentral lists this ribosomal RNA (1371 nucleotides) under uncultured bacterium. RNAcentral's name for it is "partial 16S ribosomal RNA". It matches the Rfam family "Bacterial small subunit ribosomal RNA", at positions 41 to 1372 of the family's 1533-position model. The record is from RNAcentral.